RNAcentral lists this transfer RNA (57 nucleotides) under Cordylochernes scorpioides. RNAcentral's name for it is "tRNA-Ser". The record is from RNAcentral. Lineage: Eukaryota; Metazoa; Arthropoda; Arachnida; Pseudoscorpiones; Chernetidae.
UGUCCAGGGAUGGGAAUCGAACCCACAAUAUGCCAUGUCCACUAGGCUACCCUAGAC